This 1061-nucleotide long non-coding RNA is filed under the name Cricetulus griseus (Chinese hamster). Its description in RNAcentral is "lncRNA (ENSCGRG00015038722.1)". Lineage: Eukaryota; Metazoa; Chordata; Mammalia; Rodentia; Cricetidae. The record is from RNAcentral.
CCUCCCGCGGCAUGCGCGGUGCUGCGGCGCCGCCUGCUGUGCGGAGGAACUUCCCAGCUCCGAGCUUGGCUGCUGGACCCUGGGUUGGUUCUAAGGACAAGUUGCUCUAGGCUUGCUAUGCAGCCCAAGAUGACUGAACUUUUUCACCUCUUCCUGAUAGUGCUGGGAUUACAGAUGUGGACCACCAUGCCUGGCUUAUGUGGUGCUGGAAGUGUAACCCAGGGAAUGGUUCAUGCUUGGUAAGCUCUCUACUAACCAAGCUGCAUCCCCAACGCAUUUCACCUUAAAUCUUAGAUAAGGAGAUAUUCUCACAUCAUCAUGUAGCUUCCCGUUGUGCUCAUUCUCUUUAUCGAUGCCUUAAAACCACCCUGUUAUGCGCCAGCCACUCGUCCCACUUUAUCUUUCUGAUUCCUUUUCUCCAGUCAUAUAGCUUGCUUGCUUUUGCAAAGUUCACAGGGAAAGCUGUGCUACCAGUACACCUUGUGUAUGUCUGUAUGAAGUAUCCACUAUACCACACCAGGAUUGUCACUUUAUAUGCUACUAAACUUCUAGCUUCUGAAGUCAAAAGAGCAUGCUUUUUUAUUAUUACAGGUUGGUGCAGUGAAUAAAUGCAGAUUCUUUAUUGAAUGACUGGUACAAAGGAAGCAUCACAAUCAUUUAGUGAGAUAAAGAUGUUUUGCUAAGUCAGAAUAAUCAUGUAAGUCUAGAGAGAUGGCCCAGUGGUUAAGCACAUUGAUUUUCUUUGGGAGGACCUGAGUGGGUCCCAGCAUCCACAAGAUGGCUCACAACUGUAACUCCAGUUCCAGGGCAUCCAGUGCCCUCUUCCAACCUCCACAGGCACCAGGUGGGCAUAUGUACAUGCAGACAAAACGCACAUUAAAAAAUGAAUAGAGCUAAUUUUAAAAAUUAAAAGAAGCAUAAUUAUGUAGCUACACUUUAGUAUGCUCUUUGUUACUGUAGACACCUCAACUUCAAUCUUCAGUGAGUCUGUACAAAAAUAUUUCCAUCUUCUUGAGUAUUGUACGUUUUACUUUUAACAGGCAUUAAUUUUAUUGUCCCAG